UCAAGAUUUUUAAACAAGUCAAAUCAGACUUUUCCAGUACCCUAUUGCUCGAGACCAGACACUCGGUGCGGGUAAUUGAGGUGUUAUAAAAUAUAUCAGUACAUGUUAUCAGGUGCACAUUUCUCCGAUUUUCAAGUUCGAGUAUCCAUUUUUUCGAUCAUGUAUCGGAUAAGUUUGGAUUUGCACGUGUUUAGAGAUAAGAAUUGUUCGGUAUUUGUAUACAUUUGGUCGUUAAAAGGGCAUUAAUAUAUCGUAUUCUCUAUAUUAUGGUAUUUUGACCGUUUUGUGUGAGAUGUGCAAGAAAACAUGUGAAAACGAGCCAAAAACACAUUUAUCACUCAAGGUGUCAAUCGGGUCCGGUAGAGAAAGUUAUGGCUGUUUUACAGAUACUGCGCAAUUCCAGCGAUUCGCCGACUUGCAAGUCAGCGAGCCGCGGGAACAUGCACAGACGAAUUCAACUCAGAUUCGGAGUUUUGCGUAUAAAAGAGCACCAAACACGACUCCAAACACAUCAAUUCAUACCCAAAACACCGAACAUCCGUCCUAGAGCAAGAUGAAGACAUCCGAAAGACUUUAAUCAAUCAACGAUUUGAAGACUUCCAUCCGUUCAGCUCUUCUCCGUGACAUCCAUUCUCCUGUUAUUCAUGUUUUAAUUAUUUUCUAUUGAAUAUUUUGCUAGAAUUCUUUUGAACAUGAGUAGCUAAAUACUUUUGUAGUAUUUUUGGUGAA
This is a non-coding RNA of Salvia hispanica, 729 nucleotides long. Lineage: Eukaryota; Viridiplantae; Streptophyta; Magnoliopsida; Lamiales; Lamiaceae. The record is from RefSeq and is a predicted model, not a curated record.